Non-coding RNA from Acephala macrosclerotiorum, 142 nucleotides. NCBI's taxonomy places the organism in Eukaryota, Fungi, Ascomycota, Leotiomycetes, Helotiales, Mollisiaceae. The record is from the annotation of a GenBank genome assembly.
GCGUCGAUGGUUUAGUGGUAAAAUUAACCGGUCAGAUCAAUUAUUCAACUGUACAAACAAGCAUCUUCUAACAGAAAGCAGUUGCCAAUGUGUUUACUCACAAAGUCUCGGUUAGCCCCGGGUUCGAUUCCCGGUCGACGCA